AAAACUUUAAGUUAACUAAACUAUUGACCUUCAAAGUCAAAAAUUCAAAUUGAAUGUUUUG
RNAcentral lists this transfer RNA (61 nucleotides) under Bulinus globosus. RNAcentral's name for it is "tRNA-Trp". Lineage: Eukaryota; Metazoa; Mollusca; Gastropoda; Planorbidae. The record is from RNAcentral.